GUGGGGAAUCUUCCGCAAUGGACGAAAGUCUGACGGAGCAACGCCGCGUGAGUGAUGACGGCCUUCGGGUUGUAAAGCUCUGUUAAUCGGGACGAAAGGCCUUCUUGCGAAUAGUUAGAAGGAUUGACGGUACCGGAAUAGAAAGCCACGGCUAACUACGUGCCAGCAGCCGCGGUAAUACGUAGGUGGCAAGCGUUGUCCGGAAUUAUUGGGCGUAAAGCGCGCGCAGGCGGAUUGGUCAGUCUGUCUUAAAAGUUCGGGGCUUAACCCCGUGAUGGGAUGGAAACUGCCAAUCUAGAGUAUCGGAGAGGAAAGUGGAAUUCCUAGUGUAGCGGUGAAAUGCGUAGAUAUUAGGAAGAACACCAGUGGCGAAGGCGACUUUCUGGACGAAAACUGACGCUGAGGCGCGAAAGCCAGGGGAGCGAACGGGAUUAGAAACCCGAGUAGUCC
RNAcentral lists this ribosomal RNA (450 nucleotides) under uncultured Veillonellaceae bacterium. RNAcentral's name for it is "bacterial SSU rRNA". It matches the Rfam family "Bacterial small subunit ribosomal RNA", at positions 354 to 796 of the family's 1533-position model. The record is from RNAcentral. Lineage: Bacteria; Bacillati; Bacillota; Negativicutes; Veillonellales; Veillonellaceae.